This 440-nucleotide ribosomal RNA is filed under the name uncultured bacterium. Its description in RNAcentral is "partial 16S ribosomal RNA". It matches the Rfam family "Bacterial small subunit ribosomal RNA", at positions 338 to 795 of the family's 1533-position model. The record is from RNAcentral.
CCUACGGGUGGCAGCAGUGGGGAAUAUUGCACAAUGGGGGGAACCCUGAUGCAGCGACGCCGCGUGAGUGAAGAAGUAUUUCGGUAUGUAAAGCUCUAUCAGCAGGGAAGAAAAUGACGGUACCUGACUAAGAAGCCCCGGCUAACUACGUGCCAGCAGCCGCGGUAAUACGUAGGGGGCAAGCGUUAUCCGGAUUUACUGGGUGGAAAGGGAGCGUAGACGGUUAUGCAAGUCUGAAGUGAAAGCCCAGGGCUCAACCAUGGGACUGCUUUGGAAACUGGAAAACUGGAGUGCAGGAGAGGUAAGCGGAAUUCCUAGUGUAGCGGUGAAAUGCGUAGAUAUUAGGAGGAACACCAGUGGCGAAGGCGGCUUACUGGACUGUAACUGACGUUGAGGCUCGAAGGCGUGGGGAGCAAACAGGAUUAGAUACCCGUGUAGUC